This 223-nucleotide long non-coding RNA is filed under the name Medicago truncatula (barrel medic). RNAcentral describes it as "long non-coding RNA (MTRU_LNC005073)". The record is from RNAcentral. Lineage: Eukaryota; Viridiplantae; Streptophyta; Magnoliopsida; Fabales; Fabaceae.
UUCACGUAAUAGAACGAAGCAUGCAUAACAUAUAGCCCCAUCCCGUUACGUAUCAGAGUGACCUAGACGACUCAGUGAAGGCAAGGCCACUCACGACGGAAACUGCACACUAAGCACGAUCACCUGCAAGUUACCCAUAUGAAGGGCAACAUUUUCAAGCAGAAGGGGUGAGAUUUCAUAACAAAAUAAUGUUAAUCAAAGUAAUUCGAAUCAUAAUUAACAU